AAAACCUUUUUUCCUUCCUUGUAGAGUUACAAACUCUGGAAAAAUCUUACAUAUCUAUGUUAGCAUCCUUUGAUUCAUACACAUUCAUUUGUGGAUUCAAACAACACAACUAUUGGUUUAGACCAUACUCUUUUUUUCUCUUUGGCUAAUCACUAUUUAUUGGUUAAUCCCACACUCUUUUACACUUCAAGCAGUUCACCAU
This 202-nucleotide long non-coding RNA is filed under the name Lathyrus oleraceus (garden pea). Its description in RNAcentral is "Pisum sativum (pea) long non-coding RNA (PSAT_LNC016096)". Lineage: Eukaryota; Viridiplantae; Streptophyta; Magnoliopsida; Fabales; Fabaceae. The record is from RNAcentral.